UACGGAGGGGGCUAGCGUUGUUCGGAAUUACUGGGCGUAAAGCGCGCGUAGGCGGACCUGCAAGUCGGGGGUGAAAUCCCCGGGCUCAACCCGGGAACUGCGUCCGAUACUGGAAGGCUUGAAUCCGGGAGAGGGAUGUGGAAUUCCAGGUGUAGCGGUGAAAUGCGUAGAUAUCGGGAGGAACACCAGUGGCGAAGGCGACUACCUGGCCUGUUUCUUGACGCUGAGGCGCGAAAGCUAGGGGAGCAAACGGGAU
Molecule: ribosomal RNA, 256 nt
Filed under: uncultured bacterium
Lineage: Bacteria
Description: partial 16S ribosomal RNA
Rfam family: Bacterial small subunit ribosomal RNA
Source: RNAcentral